GUCAAGCCGCAUUUCUGUGCUUUAGCCUUAUCCCAUAUUUUCCUAAGCUCAAACGAACCAACCUGACCGGUAUUUAUGGAUGACUACUCGAUCAUUCAUCCGAUUUAUACCAGAUCAGACUCCUCCUUUAUCAACGAAACCCACGAUAUCUCAGCCACCAUCAUGCCCACGAUAUCCGGUUGUCACCACCUAUUCCAACAUUCGAAGCCUCCGAGCUGCAACCAAUUGCGUUCAACGACCUUGACACCCUCCGCACAACCAUCACAACUUCUCCCCUCUGCAAUCGGACCUUCAACUCGCGAUUCAGCCGACAUGAAUCACCAUUGCCGCUCACCUUAGUUCCGUUCCGUAUGACCUGGUGUGUCUCUAAUUAGUUCUGUUCGACUGUUAAGGUUUUUGAUUGUUUAAGGAAGAUUUGUUUGGAUUUUGCUUUGCUUGCUAACUAAGGUAAUUUGGGAAACGUGGGGAAUACGUGAAGAGUGUCGUGAAGAUAAAGAUUUAUUUUUAUUUCGGUAAUGUAAUGAAAAUGUAAUUAGGAUCUUUUGUUUUCAACGUUAUGGAUUGGUUUUAGUUUUGAUAUCUGUAUGAGUGACACGUCAGCCUGUCCAGGUUGGGGUGUUACACAGAGUCAAUGCAUAAAAGAAAAAUAGAUUUAAAAAUAAAAUUGGUAGCUAUAUAUGCCAUGUGGACAGCAAUAUAAACAUCAAG
Helianthus annuus (common sunflower) is the source of this 708-nucleotide long non-coding RNA. RefSeq lists it as uncharacterized. NCBI's taxonomy places the organism in Eukaryota, Viridiplantae, Streptophyta, Magnoliopsida, Asterales, Asteraceae. The transcript has 4 exons. The record is from RefSeq and is a predicted model, not a curated record.